Molecule: ribosomal RNA, 316 nt
Filed under: Mantidactylus riparius
Lineage: Eukaryota; Metazoa; Chordata; Amphibia; Anura; Mantellidae
Description: partial large subunit ribosomal RNA
Rfam family: Bacterial large subunit ribosomal RNA
Source: RNAcentral
ACCCCUAACUCCUAUAACUGACUAACCCUUAGGGUCCUGUAUCCUCGGUUUUAGGUUGGGGCGACCAAGGAGUACAACAAAACCUCCACAAUGAACGGGACUUCUCCCUCAUCUAAGAGCUACACCUCUAAGAAUUAAAAUAUUAACAUAAAAUGAUCCAUUUUUUGAUCAAUGAACCAAGUUACCCUGGGGAUAACAGCGCAAUCCAUUUCAAGAGCCCCUAUCGACAAAUGGGUUUACGACCUCGAUGUUGGAUCAGGGUAUCCUAGUGGUGCAGCAGCUACUAAAGGUUCGUUUGUUCAACGAUUAAAACCCU